GUGGAUGCCUUGACUGGUAAAGGCGAUGAAGGACGUACUAGACUGCGAUAAGCUACGGGGAGCUGUCAAGAAGCUUUGAUCCGUAGAUUUCCGAAUGGGGCAACCCAAUGUAUAGAGAUAUACAUUACCUAUAUAGGAGCGAACGAGGGGAAUUGAAACAUCUUAGUACCCUCAGGAAAAGAAAUCAAUAGAGAUUGCGUCAGUAGCGGCGAGCGAAAGCGCAAGAGGGCAAACCCAGUGCUUGCACUGGGGGUUGUAGGACUGCAAUGUGCAAGAGGUGAGUUUAGCAGAACAUUCUGGAAAGUAUAGCCAUAGAGGGUGAUAGUCCCGUAUGCGAAAAACAAACCUUAGCUAGCAGUAUCCUGAGUAGGGCGGGACACGAGAAAUCCUGUCUGAAGCUGGGUCGACCACGAUCCAACCCUAAAUACUAAUACCAGAUCGAUAGUGCACAAGUACCGUGAGGGAAAGGUGAAAAGAACUGAGGUGAUCAGAGUGAAAUAGAACCUGAAACCAUUUGCUUACAAUCAUUCAGAGCCCUAUGUAGCAAUACAGGGUGAUGGACUGCCUUUUGCAUAAUGAGCCUGCGAGUUGUGGUGUCUGGCAAGGUUAAGCAAACGCGAAGCCGUAGCGAAAGCGAGUCUGAAUAGGGCGCUUAGUCAGAUGCUGCAGACCCGAAACGAAGUGAUCUAUCCAUGAGCAAGUUGAAGCUAGUGUAAGAACUAGUGGAGGACUGAACCCAUAGGCGUUGAAAAGCCCCGGGAUGACUUGUGGAUAGGGGUGAAAGGCCAAUCAAACUUCGUGAUAGCUGGUUCUCUCCGAAAUAUAUUUAGGUAUAGCGUUGUGUCGUAAUAUAAGGGGGUAGAGCACUGAAUGGGCUAGGGCAUACACCAAUGUACCAAACCCUAUCAAACUCCGAAUACCUUAUAUGUAAUCACAGCAGUCAGGCGGCGAGUGAUAAAAUCCGUCGUCAAGAGGGAAACAACCCAGACUACCAGCUAAGGUCCCUAAAUCUUACUUAAGUGGAAAACGAUGUGAAGUUACUUAAACAACCAGGAGGUUGGCUUAGAAGCAGCCAUCCUUUAAAGAAAGCGUAAUAGCUCACUGGUCUAGUGAUUUUGCGCGGAAAAUAUAACGGGGCUAAAGUAAGUACCGAAGCUGUAGACUUGCACACAACUUAGAUUAUUUAAGUUUAGAAUAUGAGAAACUAAGUUAUAUGUUUAGUUAUAUUUUUACUGAUUUUUAUAGAGUAAAGAUAGAAAUAAAACUUAGUAAAAUCAGUAAAAAUAUUCUUAGACUAAAGUUAAGUAGUUUAAGUUGUGUGCAAGUGGUAGGAGAGCGUUCUAUUUGCGUCGAAGGUAUACCGGUAAGGAGUGCUGGAGCGAAUAGAAGUGAGCAUGCAGGCAUGAGUAGCGAUAAUUAAUGUGAGAAUCAUUAACGCCGUAAACCCAAGGUUUCCUACGCGAUGCUCGUCAUCGUAGGGUUAGUCGGGUCCUAAGUCGAGUCCGAAAGGGGUAGACGAUGGCAAAUUGGUUAAUAUUCCAAUACCAACAUUAGUGUGCGAUGGAAGGACGCUUAGGGCUAAGGGGGCUAGCGGAUGGAAGUGCUAGUCUAAGGUCGUAGGAGGUUAUACAGGCAAAUCCGUAUAACAAUACUCCGAGAACUGAAAGGCUUUUUGAAGUCUUCGGAUGGAUAGAAGAACCCCUGAUGCCGUCGAGCCAAGAAAAGUUUCUAAGUUUAGCUAAUGUUGCCCGUACCGUAAACCGACACAGGUGGGUGGGAUGAGUAUUCUAAGGCGCGUGGAAGAACUCUCUUUAAGGAACUCUGCAAAAUAGCACCGUAUCUUCGGUAUAAGGUGUGGUUAGCUUUGUAUUAGGAUUUACUCCGAAAGCAAGGAAACUUACAACAAAGAGUCCCUCCCGACUGUUUACCAAAAACACAGCACUCUGCUAACUCGUAAGAGGAUGUAUAGGGUGUGACGCCUGCCCGGUGCUCGAAGGUUAAUUGAUGGGGUUAGCAUUAGCGAAGCUCUUGAUCGAAGCCCGAGUAAACGGCGGCCGUAACUAUAACGGUCCUAAGGUAGCGAAAUUCCUUGUCGGUUAAAUACCGACCUGCAUGAAUGGCGUAACGAGAUGGGAGCUGUCUCAAAGAGGGAUCCAGUGAAAUUGUAGUGGAGGUGAAAAUUCCUCCUACCCGCGGCAAGACGGAAAGACCCCGUGGACCUUUACUACAGCUUGACACUGCUACUUGGAUAAGAAUGUGCAGGAUAGGUGGGAGGCUUUGAGUAUAUGACGCCAGUUGUAUAUGAGCCAUUGUUGAGAUACCACUCUUUCUUAUUUGGGUAGCUAACCAGCUUGAGUUAUCCUCAAGUGGGACAAUGUCUGGUGGGUAGUUUGACUGGGGCGGUCGCCUCCCAAAUAAUAACGGAGGCUUACAAAGGUUGGCUCAGAACGGUUGGAAAUCGUUCGUAGAGUAUAAAGGUAUAAGCCAGCUUAACUGCAAGACAUACAAGUCAAGCAGAGACGAAAGUCGGUCUUAGUGAUCCGGUGGUUCUGUGUGGAAGGGCCAUCGCUCAAAGGAUAAAAGGUACCCCGGGGAUAACAGGCUGAUCUCCCCCAAGAGCUCACAUCGACGGGGAGGUUUGGCACCUCGAUGUCGGCUCAUCGCAUCCUGGGGCUGGAGCAGGUCCCAAGGGUAUGGCUGUUCGCCAUUUAAAGCGGUACGCGAGCUGGGUUCAGAACGUCGUGAGACAGUUCGGUCCCUAUCUGCCGUGGGCGUAAGAAGAUUGAAGAGAUUUGACCCUAGUACGAGAGGACCGGGUUGAACAAACCACUGGUGUAGCUGUUGUUCUGCCAAGAGCAUCGCAGCGUAGCUAAGUUUGGAAAGGAUAAACGCUGAAAGCAUCUAAGCGUGAAGCCAACUCUAAGAUGAAUCUUCUCUAAGCUCUCUAGAAGACUACUAGUUUGAUAGGCUGGGUGUGUAAUGGAUGAAAGUCCUUUAGCUGACCAGUACUAAUAGAGCGUUUGGCUUAUCUUU
RNAcentral lists this ribosomal RNA (3033 nucleotides) under Campylobacter coli. RNAcentral describes it as "partial 23S ribosomal RNA". It matches the Rfam family "Bacterial large subunit ribosomal RNA". Lineage: Bacteria; Pseudomonadati; Campylobacterota; Epsilonproteobacteria; Campylobacterales; Campylobacteraceae. The record is from RNAcentral.